RNAcentral lists this ribosomal RNA (406 nucleotides) under uncultured bacterium. RNAcentral's name for it is "partial 16S ribosomal RNA". It matches the Rfam family "Bacterial small subunit ribosomal RNA", at positions 30 to 526 of the family's 1533-position model. The record is from RNAcentral.
AUUGAACGCUGGCGGCAGGCUUAACACAUGAAAGUCGAGCGAGAGGCGGACGGGAGAGUAAUGUAUGGGAAACUGCCUGAUGGAGGGGGAUAACUACUGGAAACGGUAGCUAAUCCCGCAUACCAUCAGAUGUGCCCAGAUGGGAUUAGCUCGUAGGUGGGGUAAUGUCUCACCUAGGCGACGAUCCCUAGCUGGUCUGAGAGGAUGACCAGCCACACUGGAACUGAGACACGGUCCAGACUCCUACGUGAGGCAGCAGGGGGGAAUAUUGCACAAGGGGCGCAAGCCUGAUGCAGCCAUGCCGCGUGUGGGAAGAAGGCCUUCGGGUUGUAAAGCACUUUCAGCGAGGAGGCGUUACUCGCAGAAGAAGCACCGGCUAACUCCGUGCCAGCAGCCGCGGUAAUAC